UACGGAGGGUGCGAGCGUUGUUCGGAAUCACUGGGCGUAAAGCGCGUGUAGGCGGCCCAUUAAGUCUGAUGUGAAAGCCCGGGGCUUAACCCCGGAAUUGCACCUCAAACUACAUGGCUAGAGCAUUGGAGAGGGUAGCGGAAUUCACGGUGUAGCAGUGAAAUGCGUAGAUAUCGUGAGGAACACCAGAGGCGAAGGCGGCUACCUGGACAAUUGCUGACGCUCAGGCACGAAAGCGUGGGGAGCAAAAGGG
RNAcentral lists this ribosomal RNA (253 nucleotides) under uncultured bacterium. Its description in RNAcentral is "partial 16S ribosomal RNA". It matches the Rfam family "Bacterial small subunit ribosomal RNA", at positions 524 to 776 of the family's 1533-position model. The record is from RNAcentral.